UGAAACUUUUGCUGUGACACCAUCAUUUAUCGAGGGAGAGCAAAGGACUAAACCAUCUGCUCAUGAUCUCUUAUUGAUUUUAUGCAGCGAUGUUCUUAUUUAUACAUCAGCGACAACCCUCCAGAGAAAAAGCAAGA
This 137-nucleotide long non-coding RNA is filed under the name Apteryx rowi (Okarito brown kiwi). RNAcentral's name for it is "lncRNA (ENSARWG00000010354.1)". Lineage: Eukaryota; Metazoa; Chordata; Aves; Apterygiformes; Apterygidae. The record is from RNAcentral.